AAUAAAUGCUAUCGGUAUGCUUAACACAUGCAAGUUGAAUGUUUUUUAAAAACAUAGCGAACGGGUGAGUAACACGUGAAUUAUCUACCUUUUAAUUCAGAAUAAUUAUUUUUAUAAAAAUACUGAAUAAAUAAAUUAAAGUUUUUUUAACGUUAAAAGAUGAGUUUGCGCAAGAUUAUGGUAGUUGGUUGUUUAAAAGACUACCAAGCCUAUUAUCUUUAGCUGAUUUGAAAGAAUGAUCAGCCACAUUGGGACUGAGACACGGCCCAAACUUUUUUAAAGGCAGCAGUGGGGAAUUUUGGACAAUGAGCGGAAGCUUGAUCCAGCAAUACCGAGUGAGUGAUGAAGGCCCUAGGGUUGUAAAGCUCUUUCACCGGUGAAGAUAAUGACGGUAACCGCAGAAGAAGCCCCGGCUAACUUCGUGCCAGCC
This 430-nucleotide ribosomal RNA is filed under the name uncultured bacterium. RNAcentral describes it as "partial 16S ribosomal RNA". It matches the Rfam family "Bacterial small subunit ribosomal RNA", at positions 32 to 513 of the family's 1533-position model. The record is from RNAcentral.